AAUAUUGCGCAAUGGGCGAAAGCCUGACGCAGCGACGCCGCGUGUGGGAUGAAGGCCUUCGGGUCGUAAACUCCUGUCGAGCGGGACGAAUGCUCCCGGGGUGAAUACCCCGCGGGGUUGACGGUACCUCCAAAGGAAGCCCCGGCUAACUCCGUGCCAGCACCCGCGGUAAUA
RNAcentral lists this ribosomal RNA (174 nucleotides) under uncultured bacterium. RNAcentral's name for it is "partial 16S ribosomal RNA". It matches the Rfam family "Bacterial small subunit ribosomal RNA", at positions 360 to 525 of the family's 1533-position model. The record is from RNAcentral.